ACAACAUCCCACCCCAACUGGAUGAAUUGCAAAGGUACCAAGAUCUCAUUUAGAAAUCCUCACUAUUUUCAUGUGAUUUGAGAAAGGAUUGUAUUUAAAUGGCGUUUUGGCAUUUGGAGGGAAACAGACACGCCCUGUCGGGUGAAAUCUCAGGGAUGAUCAGUGAACAAAAACACUGUCACCAAGUAAGUAAACAGUGACAAGUUUAUAAGAUGCUGUUGGCAGUAGCUGGAUUUCUCAGCGCUGAACACUUGAGCUGGGCAUGGUGGGAGCGGCUGGUUAGCCAUUUGUCAGGCAAAGUCAAAACAGCCCUCCAGCUACAGCACAGACGGCAGUCUGCAGCUCGUCAGCAUUUUAUUUAUGACUCUUAAUUAGCAAGCAAAAAAGGAGGGAAGAAGUUCCCAGUUUGGGAUAUACAUACUUAUACAUACAUAUUUUGCCCAGAAAUUAUCUUUGUCAAAAUAAUUUAAAUCCUUACAACCCUGGGAUGUAGAUAUUAUAAUUUACAUUUUAUAGACAGGAAAUUCCAUCCUGCAAGGUAAGUAUAAUUAUCCUGAUUUUACCCAUGUAGGUUCAGAGAAGCCAAGUGAUUUUUCCAAGGUAACACAGCUAGAACAUGGGGGAGCUGGGACUGACAAUCUUCAAACGCUAAUGCAAAAGGCUCUUUCAAACACACCAUGGUUGGCUCUUACCUGGCACGUCAUAGUAAUAGUCCAUUGACUUUGGUUAAAAGAGAGUUGACUACCAAACUCAUUACACUUGUGAGUAAACUUCUCGUUCUUAUGGUUAGAAUUAAUUCUUCGGAGGGAGGGGAGUUAUUGAGCCAGUGAGGAACAAAAGAUGACUGAGUAAGCAAGGUCAGCUCUCUGCCUACUUUGGAAGAACUUGGGGUCUGGCACUGCGACCCACAGAGUCUAAGCAGGCAAAGGGUAGGGAAUAAAAAGUGGAUCCCAUGAGUCCAAAGUGACUCUGCUCUAUGGUGAAGGAGUCUUUGAGCUGCGGAGCCUUCGAGUGCUUGUGAGGUGUAGGAAGCAUCAGACACACGAGCGGGCCUGGCAACUCUAAACAUGUCAGAUUGCUUACGCCAACCAUCUCCUUCCAGAUGGCACUUAGAAAGGGUUGCAUCAAUUACUUCUGAUCACUGAUUUGACCAAAAAACAGGAGUUAUUUAUAUAAGAUAGAAAAGAACAUUUUUAUUGACAUAAAUCUUCAUUAUUGCAGGUUUUUGUUUUUUAAGUCCUGUGAAAUCCAAAGGACAAAGUGUGUCUAUUUAUUCUCAAGGAUUCCAAGCCUCACUAAAGGAUGAACUGGAAGGCCACAGCUUCCAAACCCUCUGAGGAGGUGUGGUUGGCAUUGUGGAGAUGGCCAGUAUUUCUGGUUCUCUCCUCCUGCAGGGACAUGAAAAGAUCGCACUUCUCCAUCCCCCUGAAGUAUGAAUUUAAAUCGACUGACAAGAGAAGGAAAGAUCAGCAGCAACUCCUCUGGCACAGUCAGUCAGAGCAUCUCCAUGUAGUCAAACGAUAAGCACUGCAUCUUCACAUUUGCUAUUGUGAUCACUGUUGAACCACAAAGACAAGGAUGGAUGAGGAUAAAGAUACGCUUCUCUGCACAACAUACAGAAGGAAUGGUCCUGGAUUAAAUCAGGGUUCUUAACCUCAAUAAUAAGGAAAAGCACAUGGAUCUCUGCUGACUGAGAUCAGAACCUUAGCAAGCCUCUUCUCUCAAUAAAACACAGAGAACAAGGAAAGAAAUUGAUAUUUAACGAAUACUUACUAUUUGCCUGGCCCUCUGUUAGGUGCUUAAUAUUAUCUUUUUAUCUUUAUAUCAUUAUGGCAAGUUUGGUAUUAUUAUUCUCAAUAAAUCCUAAAAAACAUUCCAGAGGCUGAAAGAAGGUAAAGAACUUGUCCAAGGUCCCCCAACUAGUAAGUGAAAGAACUGAGCUUUGAGCCCAAGUCUGUCUGAUGCCAUUGCUGUCACUACAUCCCUUAGUCUUUCAUGCUGAAAAUGUACAAAGAGGGGUCAUGAAGGUGAGAGACCCUCCCCCGGGAUCAUAGUUUACAAAGUCAACAAGUCAUACUUAUCUCUCCUAUAAACCUGACACAGGAGCAAAUGGAUUCUAACCCCUUAGAUGAUCUAAAUACAUUUGUGAUUUUCAUUAAAGCAAAAUAGCAAUUAUGUACUUGAAAUAUUUAUAAAAUAAGUCAACUACAUUUGAGGGAAAAUGUAAAAGCAUUGCAAUUAAACAGAUCUGCACACACUGCAGGGUGUUUUUCUAACAAAAGGAGUAAGGAAUAAUGCUGCUAAUAAAAACAAUGAUGAUCUUGUUUAAAUGUUCUAAUAACUCAUUCAGCACUGUUCUGAGUGGAACUGUAUAUUAGUAAUUUCAAAUAAAGUCUUUGAUGAAAGAUUAAAUAUAUCUUCUGCUCAUUCUCCUCUGCAAAGCUAGUGAUUCAAGUGGCUAAUUUGUUCCCUUUCUUCUGGUAAAAUGUUUUAAGUAAUCUAUAAAUGUUUUUCUCCUUCUAUUCAUAUUGUAAGAGGAACCAAGUGAAUAAUAAUGACUAAAAAUAGUGAGUUAUACUGAUGCAUUGGAACAUAAUUGGUGCUCCC
Long non-coding RNA from Equus caballus (horse), 2607 nucleotides. Lineage: Eukaryota; Metazoa; Chordata; Mammalia; Perissodactyla; Equidae. The record is from Ensembl.